AGUGAACGCUGGCGGUAGGCCUAACACAUGCAAGUCGAACGGCAGCACAGUAAGAGCUUGCUCUUACGGGUGGCGAGUGGCGGACGGGUGAGGAAUACAUCGGAAUCUACUUUUUCGUGGGGGAUAACGUAGGGAAACUUACGCUAAUACCGCAUACGACCUACGGGUGAAAGCAGGGGAUCUUCGGACCUUGCGCGAUUGAAUGAGCCGAUGUCGGAUUAGCUAGUUGGCGGGGUAAAGGCCCACCAAGGCGAGGAUCCGUAGCUGGUCUGAGAGGAUGAUCAGCCACACUGGAACUGAGACACGGUCCAGACUCCUACGGUAGGCAGCAGUGGGGAAUAUUGGACAAUGGGCGCAAGCCUAAUCCAGCCAUACCGCGUGGGUGAAGAAGGCCUUCGGGUUGUAAAGCCCUUUUGUUGGGAAAGAAAAGCAGCAGGUUAAUACCCCGCUGUUCUGACGGUACCCAAAGAAUAAGCACCGGCUAACUUCGUG
This 492-nucleotide ribosomal RNA is filed under the name uncultured bacterium. Its description in RNAcentral is "partial 16S ribosomal RNA". It matches the Rfam family "Bacterial small subunit ribosomal RNA", at positions 29 to 507 of the family's 1533-position model. The record is from RNAcentral.